GGUGAUAGGACUUGCUCCUUGAGCUGUUGGCAGCCUCAGAAACCAGGCCCCUGCAACUGUUUAUUAAAAACAUAGCACUCUGCAAACACGAAAGUGGACGUAUAGGGUGUGAUGCCUGCCCGGUGCUGGAAGGUUAAUUGAUGUGGUUAGCGCAAGCGAAGCUAUUGAUCGAAGCCCCAGUAAACGGCGGCCGUAACUAUAACGGUCCUAAGGUAGCGAAAUUCCUUGUCGGGUAAGUUCCGACCUGCACGAAUGGCAUAAUGAUGGGGGCGCUGUCUCCAGCAGAGGCUCAGUGAAAUCGAAAUCGCCGUGAAGAUGCGGUGUACCCGCGGCUAGACGGAAAGACCCCGUGAACCUUUACUGCAGCUUGACAUUGAACUUUGAUCUUACUUGUGUAGGAUAGGUGGGAGGCUUUGAAGUGGCGACGCUAGUUGCCAUGGAGCCGUCCUUGAAAUACCACCCUGGUAAUAUUGAGGUUCUAACUCUGUCCCGUUAUCCGGGACGAGGACCAUGUCUGGUGGGUAGUUUGACUGGGGCGGUCUCCUCCUAAAGAGUAACGGAGGAGUACGAAGGUGCGCUCAGCGUGGUCGGAAAUCACGCGUAGAGUAUAAAGGCAAAAGCGCGCUUAACUGCGAGACCCACAAGUCGAGCAGGUACGAAAGUAGGUCUUAGUGAUCCGGUGGUUCUGUAUGGAAGGGCCAUCGCUCAACGGAUAAAAGGUACUCUGGGGAUAACAGGCUGAUACCGCCCAAGAGUUCAUAUCGACGGCGGUGUUUGGCACCUCGAUGUCGGCUCAUCUCAUCCUGGGGCUGAAGCAGGUCCCAAGGGUAUGGCUGUUCGCCAUUUAAAGAGGUACGCGAGCUGGGUUUAGAACGUCGUGAGACAGUUCGGUCCCUAUCUACCGUGGGCGCUGGAAAUUUGAGAGGAUCUGCUCCUAGUACGAGAGGACCAGAGUGGACGAACCUCUGGUGUACCGGUUGUGACGCCAGUCGCAUCGCCGGGUAGCUAUGUUCGGAAGGGAUAACCGCUGAAAGCAUCUAAGCGGGAAGCCUACCUCAAGAUAAGAUUUCCCUGUGACUUUAUGUCACCUAAAGAGCCGUUGAAGACUACGACGUUGAUAGGUUGGAUGUGGAAGCAUAGCGAUAUGUGAAGCUGACCAAUACUAAUUGCUCGUGAGGCUUGACUAU
RNAcentral lists this ribosomal RNA (1187 nucleotides) under Acinetobacter sp. CIP 101934. Its description in RNAcentral is "bacterial LSU rRNA". It matches the Rfam family "Bacterial large subunit ribosomal RNA", at positions 1737 to 2925 of the family's 2925-position model. The record is from RNAcentral. Lineage: Bacteria; Pseudomonadati; Pseudomonadota; Gammaproteobacteria; Moraxellales; Moraxellaceae.